GAUGAACGCUGGCGGCGUGCCUAAUACAUGCAAGUCGAGCGAACGGACGAGAAGCUUGCUUUUCUGAUGUUAGCGGCGGACGGGUGAGUAACACGUGGAUAACCGAUCUAUAAGACUGGCAUAACUUAGGGAAACCGGAGCUAAUACAGGAUAUUAUUUUGAACCGCAUGGUUCAAAAGUGAAAGACGGUCUUGCUGUCACUUAUACAUGGAUCCGCGCUGCAUUAGCUAGUUGGUAAGGUAACGGCUUACCAAGGCAACGAUGCAUAGCCGACCUGAGAGGAUGAUCAGCCACACUGGAACUGAGACACGGUCCAGACUCCUACGGGAGGCAGCAGUAGGGAAUCUUCCGCAAUGGGCGAAAGCCUGACGGAGCAACGCCGCGUGAGUGAUGAAGGUCUUCGGAUCGUAAAACUCUGUUAUUAGGGAAGAACAUAUGUGUAAUUAACUGUGCACAUCUUGACGGUACCUAAUCAGAAAGCCACGGCUAACUACGUG
This 497-nucleotide ribosomal RNA is filed under the name uncultured bacterium. RNAcentral's name for it is "partial 16S ribosomal RNA". It matches the Rfam family "Bacterial small subunit ribosomal RNA", at positions 28 to 507 of the family's 1533-position model. The record is from RNAcentral.